UUUUCCCCACUCCACCGAGACC
Molecule: microRNA, 22 nt
Filed under: Picea abies (Norway spruce)
Lineage: Eukaryota; Viridiplantae; Streptophyta; Pinopsida; Pinales; Pinaceae
Description: pab-miR482n
Gene: pab-miR482n
Source: miRBase by way of RNAcentral